CAGCCCUUCACUGGAACACACACACACACGCACAUGCAUGUACACACACAUACACACACAUGCAUGCACACAUCACUCUGCACAUACCACACCACACACACGCGCACACACAUACCACUCUGCACAGACUCUGAGCAGUCCGAAAGUCCCCGUGGACCCUUUGGUUCACACAGCCCUGGAGGGGAUGGGGAAGGACCCACCUAGCCUUGCAGAGGCAGAAUGACUCUUGCCAGUCAGGAAUUCCUACAGCGGGUUGCAUCAUUCACAUAACAUUAGCAGCCAUCAAAGGCUAAAGAGCAGCCCCCAAAAAGGAGAGGCUCAGUGGCCACAAUGGCUGUGGCCCUCACUUCCGCACUGUGCAGAGGGCCCUAGGGGCCCUGGCCUCCGGGCCUGAGCUCAAGGCCACCACGGUAGUGUCCCAUCAGAAACGUAUGACAUCCUGCUGCUCCUGCUCCGUCCUGAGGUGGCACCCCCCAGUUUUCUGGGUGUACACAUCCAUCUAAGCUUGGCUGGUGGGCGUCUGCCCAGAUGAGGGGGCCAAGGACCCAACUCUGCACAACAGCAAAUGCAUUCAGGGAGGGCCACUGGGACCUCCAGGAGCUGCUGAGAUACCACCCAAGUCCCAGGCGUGUGCAGGACUCAUGGGGCCAGAGGCAUAAUUUCACUCUUGUUGCCCAGGCUGGAGUGCAAUGGUGUGUGUGAUCUCAGCUCACUGCAACCUCCACCUCCCCGGUUCAAGCAAUUCUCCUGCCUCAACCUCCCAAGUAGCUGCUAUUACAGAGACGGGGUUACACUAUGUUGUCUAGGCUGGUCUUGAACUCCCGGCCUUAAGUGAUCCACCCACCUCGGUCUCCCAAAGUGUUGGGAUUACAGGUGUAAGCUACUGCAACAGAUGCAGCUGGAAUCAAAGUCCCACCAAGGGGAGGAGACAGGGACCCCAAAGGCACCUGCUAUCUUUAUCAAUAGAGAACAGACAAUAAUGGGACACCAGUGCUGUGGAAUGGUGUGCAGGCGUUUGAAGGAGGGAGGUCAGGCCACACAGGCUGUCCUGGAAAGGCAUCCAGGCAAGUCUAGAAUGAAGAAGAAUUACAACCACACCUGACACACAGCCAAGAAGAGCCCAGCCACAACUAGCCUACAAAAGAAAUGAAAAACAGGCUGGGCGCGG
This 1168-nucleotide long non-coding RNA is filed under the name Homo sapiens (human). RNAcentral's name for it is "HSALNT0309473". The record is from RNAcentral. Lineage: Eukaryota; Metazoa; Chordata; Mammalia; Primates; Hominidae.